Molecule: ribosomal RNA, 509 nt
Filed under: uncultured bacterium
Lineage: Bacteria
Description: bacterial SSU rRNA
Rfam family: Bacterial small subunit ribosomal RNA
Source: RNAcentral
AAUGGCGUCAGGAUGAACGGCUAGCGACAGGCCUAACACAUGCAAGUCAGGGGCGAGCACAAGGAGCAAUCUGAGGUGGCGACCGGCGCACGGGUGAGUAACACGUAUGCAACCUGCCUGUAAGCGGGGAAUAACCCGUUGAAAGACGGACUAAUACCGCAUAAUACUAAAUUACUGCAUGGUAAUUUAUUUAAACAUUUAUGGCUUACAGAUGGGCAUGCGCAUGAUUAGCUAGUUGGAGAGGUAACGGCUCCCCAAGGCAACGAUCAUUAGGGGUUCUGAGAGGAAGGUCCCCCACACUGGUACUGAGACACGGACCAGACUCCUACGGGAGGCAGCAGUGAGGAAUAUUGGUCAAUGGACGAGAGUCUGAACCAGCCAAGUCGCGUGCAGGAAGAAAAUGUCCUAUGGAUUGUAAACUGCUUUUGCAGGGGAAUAAAGUGCAUCACGUGUGAUGUUUUGUAUGUACUCUGCGAAUAAGGAUCGGCUAACUCCGUGCCAGCCGCCGC